UUUAGAGUUUGAUCCAUGGCUUCAGGAUGAACGCUAGCGGCGUGCCUAACACAUGCAAGUCGAGCGGGGUGUUGGUUGACACUGAGUAUNUUNCNUUAUAGAGAGGGGGUAUUGAGUGUUGACCAACAUCUAGCGGCGGACGGGUGAGUAACGCGUGAGCAACCUGCCUUGUAUUGGGGGAUAACGUCGGGAAACCGGCGCUAAUACCGCAUAAGACUCCGGAAUCACAUGGUUCUGCAGUCAAAACUCCGGUGGUACAAGAUGGGCUCGCGUCCAAUUAGCUAGUUGGUGAGGUAAAGGCCCACCAAGGCGACGAUUGGUAGCCGAACUGAGAGGUUGAUCGGCCACAUUGGGACUGAGACACGGCCCAGACUCCUACGGGAGGCAGCAGUGGGGAAUAUUGGGCAAUGGGGGAAACCCUGACCCAGCAACGCCGCGUGAAGGAUGAAGGCUUUCGGGUUGUAAACUUCUUUGAUCGGGGACGAAAUGGACGGACCCGAAAAACAAGCCACGC
Molecule: ribosomal RNA, 514 nt
Filed under: uncultured bacterium
Lineage: Bacteria
Description: bacterial SSU rRNA
Rfam family: Bacterial small subunit ribosomal RNA
Source: RNAcentral